AUCAGCCGGCAUUUUGGUCAGGAUAUCUUCUUCGUCCAUGGUGACCAAGCCACCAGUCCGCCACACGCUCCAAUUCCGCCGCCGACAUCCUCUACUCCCGCUCCGCCCUUGCAACCCCGCUGCAACCCUCGGUGAUCCCCGCGCCGCCCGUUCUAUGUCCUCCAUUUCCUGAGAGCUGCGUCGCCGGAAACCGCUGCUGCGGCCACCGGUGCGCACGCGAAGAGUCCCGAU
Molecule: long non-coding RNA, 231 nt
Filed under: Brachypodium distachyon (stiff brome)
Lineage: Eukaryota; Viridiplantae; Streptophyta; Magnoliopsida; Poales; Poaceae
Description: long non-coding RNA (BDIS_LNC002207)
Source: RNAcentral